CCACACUGGAACUGAGACACGGUCCAGACUCCUACGGGAGGCAGCAGUGGGGAAUAUUGCACAAUGGGCGCAAGCCUGAUGCAGCCAUGCCGCGUGUAUGAAGAAGGCCUUCGGGUUGUAAAGUACUUUCAGCGGGGAGGAAGGGAGUAAAGUUAAUACCUUUGCUCAUUGACGUUACCCGCAGAAGAAGCACCGGCUAACUCCGUGCCAGCAGCCGCGGUAAUACGGAGGGUGCAAGCGUUAAUCGGAAUUACUGGGCGUAAAGCGCACGCAGGCGGUUUGUUAAGUCAGAUGUGAAAUCCCCGGGCUCAACCUGGGAACUGCAUCUGAUACUGGCAAGCUUGAGUCUCGUAGAGGGGGGUAGAAUUCCAGGUGUAGCGGUGAAAUGCGUAGAGAUCUGGAGGAAUACCGGUGGCGAAGGCGGCCCCCUGACGAAGACUACG
RNAcentral lists this ribosomal RNA (443 nucleotides) under Raoultella sp. RNAcentral describes it as "bacterial SSU rRNA". It matches the Rfam family "Bacterial small subunit ribosomal RNA", at positions 308 to 745 of the family's 1533-position model. The record is from RNAcentral. Lineage: Bacteria; Pseudomonadati; Pseudomonadota; Gammaproteobacteria; Enterobacterales; Enterobacteriaceae.